Molecule: ribosomal RNA, 781 nt
Filed under: uncultured bacterium
Lineage: Bacteria
Description: bacterial SSU rRNA
Rfam family: Bacterial small subunit ribosomal RNA
Source: RNAcentral
AAGUGAAAUCUGGUGGCUCAACCAUUCAGACUAUUAUCUAAACUGCUCCGCUCGAGAGCGUAGGGGUAGCUGGAAUUUCUAGUGUAGGAGUGAAAUCCGUAGAUAUUAGAAAGAACACCGAAGCGUAGGCAGGCUACUGGGACGUUUCUGACACUAAGGCACGAAAGCGUGGGGAGCAAACGGAUUAGAUACCCCGGUAGUCCACGCUGUAAACGAUGGAUACUAGCAGUUUCGGGUAUCGCCCCUGGAGUUGCGAAGCUAACGCGUUAAGUAUCCCACCUGUGUAGUACGAUCGCAAGAUAAAACAUAAAGGAAUCGACGGGGACCCGCACAAGCGGUGGAGCGUGAUCUUUAAUUCGAUGUAAACGAUAAACCUUACCAAGGCUUGACAUCUCGGGAAGGCUUCCGAAAGGAAACUGUGCCUCGGGAACCCGAAGACAGGUGAUGCAUGGCCGUCGUCAGCUCGUGUCGUGAGAUGUUUGUUAAGUCCAUCAACGAGCGCAACCCUUGCAACCAGUUGUAUUUUUCUGGUAGGACUGCCCGGUAACGGGGAGGAAGGAGGGGAUGAUGUCAGGUCAGUAUUUCCCUUACGCCUUGGGCUGAAUCGCGCUACAAUGGCCGGUACAAUGCGAAGCGAAGCAGUGAUGUGAAGCAAAUCGCACAAAGCCGGUCCCAGUUCGGAUAGAAGGCUGAAACUCGCCUUCUUGAAGUCGGAAUCGCUGUAAUCGCAGAUCAGCAUGUUGCGGUGAAUACGUUCCCGGGUCUUGUACACACCGCCCGU